UCGACCACCGAAGACGUUCUUUGGCGGAGACGGAUUGGCGGCAGCGAGAAGGCAGUGCAGGUGUGCGAGUUACUUUCAGGCUUUGAAAAACCUGACAAUGAAUUAUUCUGGCUGAGUUCUGUCGCUUAUCAAGCAAAAAUCUGAGUUGCAAUCAGAGUUCUUCAAAGAUCUCGACAAAUACACUCCUCGCUUCCUGGAGAAGUUCAAGACCCAGAGGGGGAAAGUGUCGGACAGAAACUUGAAUAUCUGCAACAAGUCAAACCUGGGAGUACAGAUGUGACUGGGAGGUGAACAGCAGUCCUCCGUGGCUCUCCCGUCAUCCUUGGAGAUGACAACGCAGACUUCUUCAAGAAUUUGACUCUGAUGACCUUCUGGACGUGUCCCACGCCUCCAUUGGGACCCUGACGGUGCUGAAGACAUCGUGGCCUCCUCACUCGCUGGACCUGGAGUCUACAACUACUGCCAUCGUUUUGGGAGGAGCAGUCGUGAUGGGUGACCGUGAUAAUCUUCCCCGUGCCGUGUGGCUA
Molecule: long non-coding RNA, 527 nt
Organism: Pseudoliparis swirei
Lineage: Eukaryota; Metazoa; Chordata; Actinopteri; Perciformes; Liparidae
Exons: 5
Source: RefSeq, a predicted model, not a curated record